Molecule: transfer RNA, 83 nt
Filed under: Laccaria bicolor S238N-H82
Lineage: Eukaryota; Fungi; Basidiomycota; Agaricomycetes; Agaricales; Hydnangiaceae
Rfam family: tRNA
About the family: Transfer RNA (tRNA) molecules are approximately 80 nucleotides in length. Their secondary structure includes four short double-helical elements and three loops (D, anti-codon, and T loops).
Source: Rfam by way of RNAcentral
GUCCUUGUCGAUUAGUGGUUAAAUCAUCUCGUUGUGGUUGCUGCUACUCCGAGAAGCCGGAAGUUCGAAUCCUCCCUGGGACA